Musa acuminata AAA Group (dessert banana) is the source of this 3325-nucleotide long non-coding RNA. RefSeq lists it as uncharacterized. The record is from RefSeq and is a predicted model, not a curated record. NCBI's taxonomy places the organism in Eukaryota, Viridiplantae, Streptophyta, Magnoliopsida, Zingiberales, Musaceae. The transcript is spliced from 4 exons.
UUCAUUUGCGUAAACUCAUUAUUGUAAUUGAUUAUUUCUAAUAUGAAGCUUGUAAAAUGUUUUCCAUUUGGUUUUGAAGGCCAAAUAUUUGGCUUGUGACAGGUCUAUGAAGAAAACAUGGAGAUUCAGGUGUUUGAUGAAAUUUACGACCAUUCUAUACAUAUUUAUUCCUAGAAUACAGGAAACAAUUUCACAAUUCGAUGAUCAUUUAUGUAUAGUGCAAUUGUCAGUGAAAAACUCCUUAAUAUUAUGGUUUAUGCAGAACCUAUUAAUUUUCUGAAGCAAAUUGUGCUACUAAUACACCUUGAAUUGGGUCUAUUUACCAUCAUGAUAAUCUUUACAACUCACUUGUUGAUCCACUUAGGAUUACAGUUGGUGCAUGCCUUCGAUGUAUCAGUCUUUGAGAGAAAAGCUUUGCAGUCCAUUACUGUCCGUUAACAACUUGUCACUUUUCCUUUUUCUCUCAGAUGUAUAAAUUGGAAACUUAAGUUGAGUAAUAAGGUAGAUUUUUGCAGUGAAUUUGGUCAUAACUUUCUCUUUAGAUUAUUUAGAAUGGUUAGGAUUUUUUUUUUUUAAUUUUGUCUAUCUCCACAUAACAUUUGGUCAAUUUGGCGAUGGCUGUUCUUUCCCGUUUGACACUUCUUUCCCUUGUAGAGAAACAUUGGUAAGAACAAAGUCAAAGCUGCCAUUAGAGCCCAUCAAGGCCAGCAGAUUGACAAAGUAAUGCUGCUGCACACUUAUAGUUCUGCUGCAGAGUAAGACACGUGUUGCGAUAGUCAUUCCUUUUAUUUUCCUUUACAGAUUAUGCAAGGACAUUGAAAUCUGUUCAAAUGCUCAGUAAAUAUAUCUAUUGCAUUCAAUUAGUGACUGUAAGUACUCCUAAAAUUUGAGUAAUAAUGAGUGAGCUUACCGGUUGUCCUCAGUCCAAUCACAUAUCAACGAUAAAAGACAAUCUGUGAGUCUGUCCCUUAAUGUAAUCUGUAGAAGUCCAUCCACAGUUUAUAUUUGAUCUCAUAUUUAUGUUUAGCAAAAGAAUUCACUGGUAUACAUUAGAGGAAGGAAAUAUCUAUUGUUAGAUUGAGAAAUGGCAACAUUGCUAUCUUGAAGCUUAUAUUUUAGACUCGACGUAUUAAUGUUGGAUAAAAAAUUUUAAAAUAUGACAAGCUUUUUAGUCAUACUUUUAUGUUCUUGAUUAGUAUGACAAAUAUCUUACUUCGUUACUCUGCUUUUGCUGUCAACUCUGUUGAAAUGGUGAUUUAUUCUGUCUUUAUUCAUCUGCACCUUCCUCUACUUAUUCUGACUUUUUAUUUAGCUCCAAAAGCGAGUUUCAUGGUGGCUAUGCACAGUGCUUCUUUGGAAGGAAGCUCCUGUUUGUAAAAAUUUGUUCUCUUCAUUCUUCAGUUUUGAUUACUAACUUUUACAAUCUUUUAAUUUAUCAUCCAGAUAUUUUAGAUGUUGGCCCCUAUUUCCUCUUUUGAUGAGCUGAUCAUUUGCCUUCAUGAAGGAGAUAAAUUACUGUGUGAGGGGACAAUCAAAAGUUGUGCACCCUUCUGCAGAAGUUUUGCCACCCUGUCAGACCAUUUCAACGUGAAACUAGGAUCCUCUUUCACAAUUAGGUAAACAACCAAGCUAACAGAGUCCCCAAUUAUAUUAAGCUCAGGAUGUUAUGUGGGUUUCUAAGCCAUCUUUUUCCAUCUGAGUUGGACUAACAUUGACUAUCUUAUAUGUAGAACAGGCAAGAAUCUUAAAUUUGUGACUUUUGUAUCUCAAGUAUGAUGUUUAUGCAGAUGUAAUUUAUUGAUCUACAUGAGCUACAACUUUUGUGACCAAUGAAGUUAGGGAAUCAGGAUUGCCAACCGAGCCCUGGAUAUAUCCGUAGCGUGUUUCAACAUGGUUCCAGUGUCCUGACUACUACAUGUUUGCAACAUUGGAAAUGUAGCACAGUGGAGCAUUUUUCCAUGAUCCAUUAUUGCCUUGAAAUAUUGGCAUUAUUGGAGGCACUUAUAGUUUUCACUGUGAUCUUGAAUUAACAGAAGGAAAUUUGAGCAGUUGGGUGAUGGAAGCUUCAUGGGUUGAACAUCUAAGAACCAAGGAGAAGUUAAAGCAGUGUCCUUCAUUAGGAGACUCUUCCAUGUGUCAGGCAGAAGCAUCAUCCUCUCCUCUGUGACAAUUGAGUCCCUCCAGAAUCUAUUUGUACUAAUAUUGAAGUUUAAAUGCACAAUCUUUUGUUUGUUCAUGAUUGAAAGCCCAUUGGUCUCUUUAGUAGGAUUGGGCUGAUGGCAUUCUGUCAGACGAUAGUGAUGAGGCAUUAUUGCCUGAGAUGGUAUAUAUGGGUUUCAUCUACAUGCAGGUCACUGAAGCAUACACUAUCUAAGAUCUGCUACCGGCUGGAGAUGCCUACACCUGUCGUCAGGAAUAGGGACAUUCAUAUUGGACGAAAGAAGCCUCUGUUUUCCAUCUCUACUAUGGAGUUAAACCAUGUGAAGAGCAUCAGUGUGCUGCUGAAUAUAUCAUCAUAUAACACUUGUUUCUUCCUCGUACUAGUAGAAAAACAUCUGUAGAAGAUGAAAUGGAUUCGCCAGAGGAGGAAUAUGAUUUCAGGACCUGUCAAAAAAUGAUGUCCAUCUGAAGCCACAGACAGCUCUUUGAAUACGGUAUCAAUCAAUCAAUCCAGAGCCAUCAACGAAUGCUGGCCUGCACAUGGCUCACCUGGUCAUCAUCCGACAUGAUAUCUUCCUGAUGAUACGGGGAGGAUUGCUAGUCCUGAAAACUCGAUCAUGCUUGCCCUGUAAUUGUGAGCUUCCUACAGGCAGCUCGUCAUCUAAAAGCCAUCCUAUCCUAUCCUUCGCAGCCCAAGUUAAGACACUCGAAGAAGAUUAGCGCUACUGGGGAAGAGAGAGAAUCUAGCUUAUUUUUCCUGGAACUUGUGAUCUUUUUAUGGAGCUUAUAGUUUGCUGUUUCCGGUGCAGCCCCACUCGCUGAUACAACUCUUCUUUCUUCCCCGGAGAACAAAAGGAGGAGACCGACUGUGCUGGUAGAAUAAAAGCCGCAUGGCCCGAGUCACAUCAUAUGACUGUCGUCGUCUUCACUUCACUGCCUUCCCUUCAUUCAUGCGCUUCGACUUGAGGUACUUCCAAAAGGUCGUACGUUCGACGUCGAGACUUCCAAUUUCAUUUAUAGUUCGAAUUUAUGACAAUUAUUGUAUUCGAAUCGAUGGCCGAUAGUGGGUGGUAUUCGCAUCUAUUCACAUCGUCCACAUCAUGCGUGAAGAUUCUCAUUAUCAUGUUGAUCUAUAAUCAAAUGUGUUUUUUGAAUGAUUAGUUAA